RNAcentral lists this ribosomal RNA (507 nucleotides) under uncultured bacterium. Its description in RNAcentral is "partial 16S ribosomal RNA". It matches the Rfam family "Bacterial small subunit ribosomal RNA", at positions 29 to 523 of the family's 1533-position model. The record is from RNAcentral.
AUUGAACGCUGGCGGCAUGCCUUACACAUGCAAGUCGAACGGCAGCGGGGGAGAAGCUUGCUUUUCCUGCCGGCGAGUGGCGAACGGGUGAGUAAUACAUCGGAACGUGCCCUGUAGGGGGGGAAAACUAGUCGAAAGAUUAGCUAAUACCGCAUACGACCUGAGGGUGAAAGUGGGGGACCGCAAGGCCUCAUGCUAUAGGAGCGGCCGAUGUCUGAGUAGAUAGUUGGUGGGGAAAGGCCUACCAAGGCGACGAUCAGGAGCUGGUCUGAGAGGACGGUCAGCCAGACUGGGAGUGAGAAACGGCCCAGACUCCUACGGGAGGCAGCAGUGGGGAAUUUUGGACAAUGGGCGAAAGCCUGAUCCAGCAAUGCCGCGUGUGUGAAGAAGGCCUUCGGGUUGUAAAGCACUUUUGUCCGGAAAGAAAUGGCUCUGGUUAAUACCUGGGGUCGAUGACGGUACCGGAAGAAUAAGGACCGGCUAACUACGUGCCAGCCGCCGCCGUAA